CAAUAGCGUAUAUUAAAGUUGUUGCAGUUAAAAAGCUCGUAGUUGGAUUUCUGGUGGGAGCGAUCGGUCUGGCGCUUAGCGCGAGUACUUGCAUCGUCUCCGGCCAUCCUUGGGGAGAGUCUGUCUGGCAUUAGGUUGUCGGGCAGAGGAUCCUCAUCGUUUACUGUGAAAAAAUUAGAGUGUUCAAAGCAGGCUUAUGCCGUUGAAUAUAUUAGCAUGGAAUAAUAAGAUAGGACUUUGGUACUAUUUUGUUGGUUUGCGCACCAAAGUAAUGAUUAAUAGGGACAGUUGGGGGUAUUCGUAUUCCGUUGUCAGAGGUGAGAUUCUUGGAUUUACGGAAGACGAACUACUGCGAAAGCAUUUACCAAGGAUGUUUUCAUUAA
RNAcentral lists this ribosomal RNA (383 nucleotides) under uncultured eukaryote. Its description in RNAcentral is "partial 18S ribosomal RNA". It matches the Rfam family "Eukaryotic small subunit ribosomal RNA", at positions 592 to 976 of the family's 1831-position model. The record is from RNAcentral.